Non-coding RNA from Cinara cedri, 5999 nucleotides. NCBI's taxonomy places the organism in Eukaryota, Metazoa, Arthropoda, Insecta, Hemiptera, Aphididae. The record is from the annotation of a GenBank genome assembly.
UGAAUCUCAACCACUGCGGUCUUUCCGACAAUAGUUCGUUGCGAUUCUCGCGCUCCCGCAGUCUCUCGUACUCUGUGCUCCCGACUUGGCCGGUAAUUUAUUACUGCCCGUCGCUUCGCAGCCGGUGCCGAUAGACUCUUUCUUUACGAUCCGUUUACCAUCGCGGUUAUUCCGCACUUGCCGCAUUCGUUCGGCGGAUUAUCGAGUAUCAAAAAUAAUUUUUAAACAAAAAAAAAAAAAUUUUUUUUCGAACAAUUUCGAUUUGAACGGCCGACUCCCGAAGAGGAUACUCUCUUCCGGCGGCGCUCGCCCGCUGUUUUAUAUAAUAUCUAAUAUUAUAUAAAACAGAAAUAUAAAAAACAUCCAGUCAGUCGAUUUAUUCCGAAAUUUCCGACGGUGAGUGACCGUAACAUUAUUUUUUUUUAAACAGCCAUCCGACACUUUAUGUGUAUAUCAAAUUCGAACUGUCGAUUUUCUAGAAUUCCCGGACCGCAGAUUCCAAGACGAACGUUCCGUCGCGACCCGUGCAGACUCACAGCCGCUGCCCGCGCCCACUCGCAAAUCGAAGACUUCGCCGACCGAAGUUGAAGCAGCCGCGGCCGAUCCGACAGACAGGGACGGACGACCAUCGACACUUGGCUUAGGUAAUAUGAACGAUUUAAAUACUUUUGACCGGUCAAAAUUCGUUACAAAAACCUAAAUACUUCGUUUCAGGUGUACGCGCAAAAAAAAAAAAUGUAUUUCUUCAUAAUUUCCGUCACUGUUGUUAUUUUAUUGUUAUUUUUUUUUUUAAUAUUCUCUCUCUUUUCUAACUAUAUGGUAAUUUAUUAACGCUUAUGAAACAAAUACUUUAUUUUUUUCUUUUCUUUUUUUUUUAUCGUCUCGUUUAUAUUUUCCGUAAUAUUAUUUUAAUAUGUAUAAUAAGCGCUAUAUUUCGAUUGAUUCUGAGCGACCGGAAAGAACCCAAAUUCGAAUAUUGUUACGUUUCCGGUAAAGACGAAAAAAAAAAUCCACAAGUCCGUAUUGAAAUCGAUUCGACAGAACAAUAAUAAUAAUAAAUAAAAAAAAAUCCCCGAUUAACGAUAAACAAAAGUUUUCGCACGGAAUUGUCUGCGUUUAAAUUGCGUUUUGUGCUUUUAUUGUUAUACUUUUAAAUAAUUUGUUUUCAGGUGUUAAUAAAUUAUUAGUGUUAAGAAAAAUAAAAAAAAAAUUACAUGUGUACCCGUAUUGUAAUAAUAUCAUGUAUUUUCUGGUGCUGAACCGGUUAGAGAAGGUCAAAAGUUUUAGGUCCCAACUGAUCCCGACUUUUUCGUUUUUCAAACUGCGCUUGUCGUAUAUAUUCCACGCGCGCGUGUACGUCGAAUUGUCGAGAAGAAACAUUUACCGUUUCAAACUCGUCGGCGAAUAUUUUUUCUCGGUUAUCUUGGCGUACAAAAGGAUUCCGAUUUUCGCCGUUGUCGGCCAGUCACUCGGGGUACCCCUCUUCAAGACAUAACUUCAAAUUCGACGAUAAGUCACUCGCGCAAACGGAAAACGCGAAAAGUCCACGUAAAUUUCGGUAAAACGCGGCGAUAUUUUUCAUUCGCUUCCCCCCUCCCCACUCUCCGUACACGCGCAUUUUCGCACCUAUUCGCACAUCCAUACGAUACGUGAAACGCGUUUUAACGAUUUUGACCGGGAACUAUGCGCAAUAAUCCAGUGUUGCGUGCAUACGCAAAUGUCGGGCGUUUUUACGUCUGAUCUUUUACGCGACUUAAUCAUAAAGAGUUAAUGCGCCCUAAGCUAUAUUAUAAUAAAAUUGCGUUUUUAUCAUUAUUAUUGUUAUUUAAAUCUUUUUUUAUGAUGCUAUUUUUUAUGUGUACUAUAUAACUAUAUUUUUUCUUCCCAGUAGGUAGUGACGAAACCUAAAAAAAAAAAAAAAAAAAAAGUCUAAACUAAACUAAAUACUACAAACGAAAAGUAUUUGAUUUCAUCGUAUACACAGUUCGAAAAUAUUAUAUAGAAGACAGACUCAAACAUUAAUCCCGGGUUUAAAUUUUUUAUUUUUUUUUUAAUUUUCAUUAUUGCUAUUAUUAUUGAUAUUUUUAUUAUUAUUCGUAUUUUUCGGGCACUGCGUGAUUACAUACUUUCGUGAUUUUUGCAAUUGCCUGAUGGAAGUUUCCUAUUGGUUAAUUGCGUAUCUUUACUGUCUGGGUCAUUUCACGCAUUUCGUUUGCAUAAACUAUUAUCGUUUUCUUCGAAAUAUUUUCGAUCAGUGAGCUGUACCAAACAGAUAACGAUAACAGUACCUUUAAACCAAUACUCCAUCGAGAAUAAUACGAUUAUAAUCGUUUUGAAAAAAAAAUAAACAAUAAUCACACACAACUGCGUGCUGUAUUUUUGAAAUCUAAAAAGAAUGAUUAGGUUUCUUUGUGCUAGUCUCGCAGUAUUUGUAAUUUUCACCCUCGAGCAUUGUAUAAAUUUUUUUUUUUACGUGUUCUCUUACCGGAAACACAUACCGAAGAUCAAUGCACCGUCACUAUUGUCUAUGUUUGAGAAGUAUUUGGUUAUGGUGCGUUUUAAAUAUCGUGUUCCGAAAAUCGAAGUACGAGAUAAUUCGAAGCUAAUUCGGUAGAAAUUCGAUCUUACUGGCCGUUUGGGACUACGCUUUAAAAGUCUCAAUUUAAUACGUGAAUUAAUAUAUACGUGAAAACGUGUAUAAAAAUAUUGCACUCACGUAUACAUAAUACACGUGCAUUUCUAUCCGUGUUCACGUGUUUUAGUGUUAUUCACGAAUUCGCGUUUUCGCCGUUUCGCAUAUUCACGUUUUAAAAUAUUCACAUAGUCACGUAUUUACGUGUUCAGGUUUUCACGUAUUUGGUUAUACCGUUUACACUAUUCGUUCGUAAUGAAGUUUUCGGUUAAAAUAUGAAAUUAUCAUAAAUGAUUACAUGUUUUAAUGUUAUUCACGUAUUCACGUGUACACAUGUUCACGGAUUAACGUAUUCAAGUGGAUUAUUGUUAUUUACAUAUUCACGUAUUAACUUGUUCACGUAUUAACGUGUUCACGUAUUCACGUAUUCACGUGUUUUAGUGUUUUUCGCGCAUUCUCGUGUCAACGUGUUAACGUGUUAACGUGUUCACGUGGUCACGUGUUUUUAAGUACACGUUUUCAAAUAACGAUAGAUCACAAAAAAAAAAAUAAACGUUAUUACGUUAAAUUUAUACUUUUUUCCAUAAAACUAUAAGUUAUAUAAUUUUCAUAUCCAAACUUUUUCAGUCUAUUUUCUCUCAUUUUGUCUACUAUCAAAAACCAUGUAUUGGCUAUAUUUUAUCUACUCUUUCUUUAUCAUAUUAUUUCUUGUCACUUCAUUCAUCCACCUAAGCAUUCUCGUCACUGCUAUAAACUCAUUCUUUAUUCUAUUUUUCUGUAUACCGCCCAACAAUUUAAACAGUCUAAACGAGACAUUAUCUCAACAAGUUCUUCUAGAACUUACUCUUUAGUUUCAUUGAAUUUGCUUGUUACAUAAAACAUCUGCCACUUCUUUCCAUUUUUUCCAACCACAAUUAAUCCUAUGUUUCGUAACCACAUAAAAGCCACCGUUAUGGUGUACCAAAGAGCCUGGGUACUUACAACUCUCAACCUCGCUUAUUAUGUCACCGUUUAUUGUCGUUGGCUGUCUUUUCUUGUUUCUCAAAACCCAUAUUCUGUUUUACUACUAAUCCUUUUAAGUGCUACUCUCCAUUUCUCAAGCCUAUUGUUAACUUAUUCCAGAUUUUCUCCUAUCAAAUCUAUACCAUACAAAAAUCAUUCACCAUAGUAUCUCCUCUCACCCGUUUACCCCGUACACAUCCGACAAUGUCCCAUCAUAGGUAUUGUUUAGAACUCAUCGUACUAUUCGACAGAAUUUUACAUAUAAAAAAAAUAUACACCUACGGGUGUUACCAAGUACUUAACACAUUGCAGUAUCUAUUGCUCAUAAGCGCAAACCCGUCCGUGUUCCUUUUACGUUUUCUUUCCGAUUUCUCCCCCAAAUAAGGUCCAAAGUUGAACAAAAAAAAAAAAAAUGGGUCUUUCGUCUUGUUUUGAAAAUAGUUUUGGCACGCUAGAGUUCAUAGAUUUCGGCCUAUCUCACUGUACGUCGUCUAAACGCACGUGUAUGUGUAAUUUUUAUGUCAUAUUUAUUAUAUCUCGUUUUUUAAAUUCUCGUAUUAUUCUUACGGAGUAUUUAUUUAUUCAUAUUUCGUUCAAAAAAAAUUUAUUACAAUACGCUUAUAGGAAAUUUUUCAGGCAUUCAAAUAUUAACAAUAAUAAUAAAAAAAAAAAAAAAAAAACAAAAAAAAAAUAAUAGUAAUAAUAAUAAUAAUAACAAUAAUCAUAGUAAUAAGGGCAUUGCUAACAAUAUUAUUAUAUUAGUGUCCGUAUAAGUGUUUUGCUUGUUUGUUUGUUUGUAUAAGGUAUUUUAUUCGAUUUAUAUAUUAUUAAUUAAUGCGUUUGAGAUAAAUUGGUUUAUUUUAGUCAUUUUUUUCUCGCGGGAAUUUUGUAGACAGAAAUUAAACAGGUAGUCCCACGUUUUAUAAUUAUAAUAUAAUAUAAGACUACAUUAAAAAUAUUUACAAAUUUAUCAGCUAUGUUCAUAAUUAUUACUAUUUUAUUUUUUCAUUAAAAACGAAUAGCUAAAAACAAUGAUUAUUUAAAAAUAGAAAAACAAUUAACAGUAUUUAUUGAAAUUUCGCUUAAAUUAUGAAAAAAAUGUAGAUAUUAUUCGUGUUUAUCUUAAAAUUUUGUUUCGCUGAAAAAAAAAAUGUCGAUUUUUAUGUACUUUUAUUUACAAAAUGUAUAAUAAUAAUAAUAAUAAUAAUAACACCUAACAGUUAUGAUAUUGUAUAAUAUAAUAUUUGAUUUAUAAUAAUCAUUUAUAAUUUACGAUUAUAAUGUUCUAUUAUAUUAUCGACACGAUUUUCACCAUAUUAUGUAAAAUGAUAUUAUUUGGGAUCAUACUUACCCGACAAUUUUCACUUGUUUUAUUAUUUAUAUAUGCACACAUUAUAGUAUUUAUUAUGUUUAAAAAUCAAUUUAAAUAAAACGCAUUAUAGCCAAUUUAAAAAAAAAAAUGUCGUAUGUAUGUUCAGUGUUCAUAUACCUAUACAUAUAUAUAUAUAUAUAUAUAUACAUAUAUAUAUGUAUGUAUACACGUUAUAUUCAAAACAAAGUUUGAUUGAAUAGGUGUCAGGUGUCAGGCUCGGGAUAUGAUUAUCGUAACCUAUAAUGUGAUGUCUCUCUUUAAGAAAAAAAAAAUAUACAUAAUAAACAUGGUUAAACACCAAACCAAGAAAAAUAUUUGCUAAUAUUCGCUAUUAAUAUAUUCGUGUAUUGUCCUCAAAUAAAUCAAUAGUAUUGCGAUGCAAAGCGAUAAUAUCGAUAUUACCGACAGUAUAAACGGUCACCCGAUUAUAGUUCAUGCGGUGUUGCGCCGAUCGCGUUGUUGGACCGGCGGUAACGUGACGGCAGCAGAGAAAGACGCCACCUCAAUCCGAAACAGGUCGAUAAAAAACAUUGACGGUGUACAAUUGUUAUAGCGUCGCGCCGUCCACGCUGCGCGCGUUUCGCGGACACGCGUUAUAACGGGCCGGAAUCGGUUAUUCCGCGUUUUUCGCGACUGUUCGCGAAAUUCGAAAACGAAUUUGAUUGCAUUUUAAUAGCCACCUAAUGACGUACGACUCUACCGCUUGUCUAUCGCCGGAUACCGCAUUGAUGGGGAACGGCGGCUUGUGCCCGAUGUUUGCGAGAAGAGGUACGGGGAAACGGUACAAAAGACCGGGGGCGGAAACCCCUCCAAAGAACAAAUUCUCACUAUUCUUUCACGGCCUUCCGAUUUUUAAGCGCGGCACAUUUUCUGAAAGGAAAUCGGUGGGAUGGGAAACUUUAAGGCUUUGAGGUGGUCAUUUUCUCAAGAUUCUUCUGAUAAAAAUGUGAAAAACCAAAAAAAAAAAAAAAAACUGAGGAAAAACGGGAAAAU